CUAAGGCCAGCGAGAGAACUGUUGUUAAGGAACUCGGCAAAAUGACCCCGUAACUUAGGGAUAAGGGGUGCCGCCAUCAGGUGGCCGCAGAGAAUAGGCCCAAGCGACUGUUUACCAAAAACAUAGGUUUCUGCUAAGUCGCAAGACGAUGUAUAGGAGCUGACGCCUGCCCGGUGCUGGAAGGUUAAGGGGAUCUGUUA
RNAcentral lists this ribosomal RNA (200 nucleotides) under Clostridioides difficile. RNAcentral's name for it is "partial 23S ribosomal RNA". It matches the Rfam family "Bacterial large subunit ribosomal RNA", at positions 1681 to 1892 of the family's 2925-position model. The record is from RNAcentral. Lineage: Bacteria; Bacillati; Bacillota; Clostridia; Peptostreptococcales; Peptostreptococcaceae.